GAUGAACGCUGGCGGCGUGCCUAAUACAUGCAAGUCGAGCGGUAAGGCCCUUCGGGGUACACGAGCGGCGGACGGCUGAGUAACACGUAGGAACCUACCCCAAACUGAGGGAUAAGCACCAGAAAUGGUGUCUAAUACCGCAUGUGCUCUACGGAGUAAAGCUUCGGCGGUUAGGAAGGGCCUGCGUCCGAUUAGCUAGUUGGUAGUAUAAAAGACUACCAAGGCGACGAUCGGUAGCUGGUCUGAGAGGAUGAUCAGCCAGACUGGGACUGAGACACGGCCCAGACUCCUACGGGAGGCAGCAGUAGGGAAUUUUCCACAAUGGGCGAAAGCCUGAUGGAGCAACGCCGCGUGAGGGAUGAAGGUCUUCGGAUUGUAAACCUCUUUCAGUAGGGACGAAGCGAAAGUGACGGUACCUAAAGAAGAAGCACCGGCUAACUACGUGCCAGCCGCCGCGGUAA
Molecule: ribosomal RNA, 461 nt
Filed under: uncultured bacterium
Lineage: Bacteria
Description: partial 16S ribosomal RNA
Rfam family: Bacterial small subunit ribosomal RNA
Source: RNAcentral